Molecule: ribosomal RNA, 368 nt
Filed under: uncultured Alphaproteobacteria bacterium
Lineage: Bacteria; Pseudomonadati; Pseudomonadota; Alphaproteobacteria
Description: bacterial SSU rRNA
Rfam family: Bacterial small subunit ribosomal RNA
Source: RNAcentral
GCAAGUCGAACGAGAUCUUCGGAUCUAGUGGCGCACGGGUGCGUAACGCGUGGGGAUCUACCAUAGGGUGCGGAAUAACUCAGAGAAAUUUGAGCUAAUACCGCAUAAUGUCUUCGGACCAAAGAUUUAUCGCCCUUUGAUGAACCCGCGUAAGAUUAGCUUGUUGGUGAGGUAAAGGCUCACCAAGGCGACGAUCUUUAGCUGGUCUGAGAGGAUGAUCAGCCACACUGGGACUGAGACACGGCCCAGACUCCUACGGGAGGCAGCAGUGGGGAAUAUUGGACAAUGGGCGAAAGCCUGAUCCAGCAAUGCCGCGUGAGUGAUGAAGGCCUUAGGGUUGUAAAGCUCUUUUACCAGGGAUGAUAAUG